GACGAACGCUGGCGGCGUGCUUAACACAUGCAAGUCGAACGGAAAGGCCUCUUUCGGGGGGUACUCGAGUGGCGAACGGGUGAGUAACACGUGAGUAACCUGCCCUUGACUUUGGGAUAACUUCAGGAAACUGGGGCUAAUACCGGAUAGGAGCUCCUGCUGCAUGGUGGGGGUUGGAAAGUUUCGGCGGUUGGGGAUGGACUCGCGGCUUAUCAGCUUGUUGGUGGGUAGUGGCUUACCAAGGCCUUGACGGGUAGCCGGCCUGGGAGGGUGACCGGCCACAUUGGGACUGAGAUACGGCCCAGACUCCUACGGGAGGCAGCAGUGGGGAAUAUUGCACAAUGGGUGGAAGCCUGAUGCAGCAACGCCGUGUGCGGGAUGACGGCCUUCGGGUUGUAAACCGCUUUCGCUCAUGACGAAGCUUUGUGUGACGGUAGUGGGUAAAGAAGCACCGGCUAACUACGUG
This 466-nucleotide ribosomal RNA is filed under the name uncultured bacterium. Its description in RNAcentral is "partial 16S ribosomal RNA". It matches the Rfam family "Bacterial small subunit ribosomal RNA", at positions 28 to 507 of the family's 1533-position model. The record is from RNAcentral.